GACGAACGCUGGCGGCGUGCUUAACACAUGCAAGUCGAACGGAAAGGCCCUGCUUUUGUGGGGUGCUCGAGUGGCGAACGGGUGAGUAACACGUGAGUAACCUGCCCUUGACUUUGGGAUAACUUCAGGAAACUGGGGCUAAUACCGGAUAGGAGCUCCUGCUGCAUGGUGGGGGUUGGAAAGUUUCGGCGGUUGGGGAUGGACUCGCGGCUUAUCAGCUUGUUGGUGGGGUAGUGGCUUACCAAGGCUUUGACGGGUAGCCGGCCUGAGAGGGUGACCGGCCACAUUGGGACUGAGAUACGGACCAGACUCCAACGGGAGGCAGCAGUCGGGAAUCUUGCACAAUGGGCGGAAGCCUGAUGCAGCAACGCCGCGUGCGGGAUGACGGCCUUCGGGUUGUAAACCGCUUUCGCCUGUGACGAAGCGUGAGUGACGGUAAUGGGUAAAGAAGCACCGGCUAACUACGUG
RNAcentral lists this ribosomal RNA (468 nucleotides) under uncultured bacterium. Its description in RNAcentral is "partial 16S ribosomal RNA". It matches the Rfam family "Bacterial small subunit ribosomal RNA", at positions 28 to 507 of the family's 1533-position model. The record is from RNAcentral.